GCAGUGGGAGUUUAGUGUUAGAAUUUUUGCCUUCCAUGCCAGAACCUGGGUUAGAGUCCCAGCCAAUGCA
RNAcentral lists this transfer RNA (70 nucleotides) under Loxodonta africana (African savanna elephant). It matches the Rfam family "tRNA". From Rfam's summary of the family: Transfer RNA (tRNA) molecules are approximately 80 nucleotides in length. Their secondary structure includes four short double-helical elements and three loops (D, anti-codon, and T loops). The record is from Rfam by way of RNAcentral. Lineage: Eukaryota; Metazoa; Chordata; Mammalia; Proboscidea; Elephantidae.